AGUCAACCUACAUGGUCACACGCUUGAUGCAAAGCGCAUGCGCAUUUAUCGUGAGCGCAUUUGAUCAUAUCCACAGCAAAUUUGCGCUAAAUAUUAAUCUUGACGCUCACUUGGUUCGUCGUUGAGGUGGUUUUAGAUUAUUCGAAGGAACACGUUUACGACAUAUACUAUGAGUAAGAACGAAACGUUAAGGGAGACCCCGCCCCAGCACGUCUCUCCUUGAUUCUUCCUUGUAAAUAGGGUUAAAUUUGAAUUUCCAAGACAGCGACCACUUCAUUUUGAAAGAUAUUUAAAGCUGUUUGUCUGCACUCUGCAUGCGAUUAAACAGCACGAUAAUAUUUGCUUUCAUCAGCAAGCUAUUUUAGUUUACUAUAAUGAGGCUUUGUUUUUGGCCGUGAUCAAAUGAUUUCUGUUCAUAACAGUAAAACAUUGCUAGUACAUAUGUUAGUCUUUGACUUUCAUUACAUGACCCGCUUUGACUUUGUUGCUGAAACCUGAAACGCCUUGUCGGUUUGAGUUACUACGAGACGAUAGGUAUUGUUUAGCUUUCAAAUUUGGAGGAUUUACUGGAGAUUUGUUAUGCCAAAGCAUGUCCAUUUAUUAAGUUCAAUCUUGACAAACGUUCAGUUGUGUAUUCUUUGACCUCUGCCACGUAAAUCAGUGUUGGUGGAACGGAAUUUAUGUGGUAGACAAAAAGAAACUGUAAGACUAAUUAACAAUAGGCCCCGGCAGCGGUAGAUACGCUAUAUACCCACUGUCAAUAUAGACGAAAGUUUAGAAAGAUGUCAGGUUUAAUUUCAAACGAAGAACGGCCACAUAACAGUCCUGGAAGCGCCCAAACCAACCAUGGGCAUGGAUUGAUGAACGGCGACAAGCCAACUGGUGUCACUUUGAAACGAGAUGUAGGCCUCAUUGGUGGUAUAGCUAUUAUAGUUGGUACUAUGAUAGGCAGUGGUAUCUUUGCUUCACCGAAAUGGGUGUUAGAAGCUUCAGGAUCGGCAGGAAUGGCGCUCAUUGUCUGGGCAAUUUGUGGUAUUGUUGCUGUCUGUGGUGCCAUGGCCUACGCCGAAUUAGGAACAAUGAUCCCGACUUCUGGAGGCGAAUACACUUACAUGCGUGAAGCUUUUGGUGCCUUACCAGCCUUCCUGAACGCAUGGACUGGCUUUGUUGUUUUGAAACCCUCUCAAUUGGCCAUAAUAUGUCUGAUUUUCGGUGAAUAUGUAGUCACUCCUUUCUACCCCGACUGCACUAUGCGGUCUGAUAUUCAACACAUUAUAAAGCUACUAGCUGCGUUGGCCAUUGGUAAGUUUAUAUUCUCCCUUCUUUAUCUUAUAUAAUUAUAAUACUAUACCCUAGAAGCAUCUAAAUGUUUCAAAGCACAAAUACAGUACAUUAAUCAUAGUAUUGUAUUUGGUUUAGUAAAUUUAAUGAUGUAUUAGUUGACCUGCAUGUCUUUGUCUUUGAUCUCUUUGUAUAGCUGUAAUCACUUUGGUGAACUGCUGGAGUGUGAAGUUAGCUGCACAAGUACAAGUGUUCUUUACGGCUGCAAAACUUCUUGCACUUGCUUUGAUAAUCAUAACUGGCAUUGUCCGACUUUGCCAAGGUACUUCUAGUCUGUUUCUAGCAGUAAUUUUCACAGCUUAACCUGAAUUUCCACCGAAUUCGCUGUCGAAACUUUUCGCUCAAUUUCUUUUGAAUUGUGAGCGUAACUGAUUCAUUCAGAUGGUUACAAUUCAAAAGAUAUCAAGCACGACGAAAUAUUUCUUUGUAAGAUCGGUGACGCUUUUAAUUUGGUCAUUUUUUGCACCCCCGCGUGCGCUAUGCCUAUAUACGUUCGGUAAUACACCCCAUGCAAAAAUACCGGUGACGCCAAUGAUCAUAAAUUUGAAUCAGUUUGGAUAUACUUUAUUUAUUUAUACCGCUAUAACAGUCAUAUAUACAUCUAGUAAUAUUAAAUUAAUAUUCCGCUACUCCCAAAAUUCCCAUUCAGGGGCUCUUUCAUUCAGGGGCUCUUUCCUCUGCACUAAACACCCGGAAUCCCAGAUUCCAGUGCAGUAAAAUGUCUAUUGCAUUGGUCUAGGUUACACCACAGAACUAGAUGGUGCAAACUCAUUUUCCGGCACAGCCACCGUUAGUGAAAUUGGAUUAAUUGGACAAGCAUUUUACAAUGGUCUUUGGGCGUACGAUGGCUGGAAUAACCUUAACGUCGUCUCCGAAGAAGUGCACAAUCCCAACAAGUAUGCGAUCAAAUUGUUAUUAUGAAUGAUAUGUUUAUCUGUUGAUGUUUACAGAUGUUGCAUAAUUAUGUAUUUGUAUUUCCAGUGAUGUAAGUACUCGUUACUAAAGUAACGCGUUACUAAUUACUAAUUACUUUUUGGGUAAUUUUUCGUUAAUUAAUUACUUUUUGCACGAAACUAAUUUGAAACGUAAUCAAUUACUUUUUGAAGGUAACGAGUAACAUUAUAAAAAAGUAAUUUGCGUUACUUUUGGGCACUUUUAUUAUUUUCCAAAAACACGAUGAUGACGAUUAAUUUUUCAAGUCAAAGAAGAAGACAACCAAAUCGCCUUUGGAUACCUACUUGGCUUCAAACAUUAUUGAUGCCACAGUUUACAAUGGACAAUGUACUGCACCUUUGAAGCAAAUGACUUUGAAGCUGAACACCGUUUUGCCUGCAAGUGCAGCUGUUGAACGUCUUUUCAGCUGUGGAGGCUUGAUCAUGCGCCCGCACCGAAAUCGGUUAACUGAUGACCAUUUUGAGUCGGCACUACUUUUAAAGCUGAACUCCAAAUUUAAUACUGUUGCAUGCAUAAGUCUUAACUCUUAACUUUGGAACUGCCUUUUCAAUUAACCUUUUUAUUGUUGUUUAAGUCCAUGAGAACUUGAAAGUAAUUUCAAAGUAAUUAGUAAUUAAUUACUUUUUAAAAAAGUAAUUAGUAAUCGGUAAUUAAUUACAUUUGAAAGACAGUAAUAAGUAAUUAGUAAUAAUUACUUUUUUGGAGAAGUAAUUGUAAUUUUACUCGUUACUUUUUUUUGGUAAUUUUCACAUCACUGUGUAUUUCAGCAAUUCUCACAUUAUCAUGACCGCAUGUACACACGUAAAAAUCUCACAACUUGUUGACGGAACUUGUGGCAAGCUUGUUGACAAAUUGUAACAAGCUUGUUAUUUUAUACUAAAACUGUCUGUACCAGUGUAGGUAGUACCAACUACCUACACUGGUACAAAGGGCGAAGGGCCUUCGCUCGAAACGUCGAGUUUCUGCUUAUUUUUUAAGAUAGUAAUAUAACCACUCAGCACAGCAUUUUGUUAUUUUAUAUCAACUUGUAACAAACUUGUUGGCAUCAAGCCUGUUACAACCUGUUGGUCUGCAGACUUGUAGCAAGUUGUUUGAACAAUUUGUAACAAGUCUGUUGAGCUCAACAACCUUGUGGCAACUUGUCAACAAGCUGGUUGCUGUUGAAGUGCGAACACAUCUUGUUCACAAGUUGUCUGCUGCAGGUUUGUUACAACUCCAAUACGUGUGAACUACGCUGCUGGCAGUGGUUUCUGAGCUGAGCUUCGGUGACGACAUUUAUCUCUGUCAAUGUGAAUGUCAAAAUCAACUUGUUUGUUAACUGUUUAUAUAUUAAAUUAUUGUGUAGAAAUAUCCCAAGAGCUAUCGGUAUUGGUAUUCCGUUGGUGACAAUUGUUUACUUGUUGACCAACAUUGCAUAUUUUGCUGUUUUGUCUAAAGAAGAAAUUAUUGAAGGUGGUGCCGUCGCAGUGGUGAGUGUUGUGUUGGUAUAUAUAGCUGCUGUAUUUCAAUAAUUCAUUUCAUUAUAUGUAGUAGACAUGUCAUGACAUAGUCUUGUAUUUGAAGGUAAAUAAAUAGAAUUGAGAAAUGUAGUGUAAUUUUCAUGCUCCCAUGUAAAAAAUCCAUUUUGUCUUCGAACAAAAUUAUUUUUGUAAACAUUCUAACUGGUUCAUUCUCUCUUAGCUUUUUGCCAACAAAAUGUUUGGUGUGAUGGCUUGGAUUAUUCCUGUGUUUGUUGCUUUUUCAACAUUCGGUGCUGCUAAUGGUUCAGCCUUAUCCAGUGGACGGUACAGCUACACUUGAUUAUAUUUAACUUUGAACUAGCGAGAGAUUAAAUUCAAUUGUUACUCCCAUUUGUGUUGAAUUACUACUGAGUGUAUUUCAUUCUAUAGUGUGUUUUAUGCUGCAUCCAAAAAUGGUGAACUUCCUAAAUUCAUGGCAAUGAUUCACAACUCUCGUUACACUCCUGUUCCUUCAAUUAUUGUGCCCGUGAGUUUUGAGAGAAAACUAAGUUAAUGGAUAAAAAUAGAUGAAAAGAAACACAGGAAUAAUAACUCAAAGAUGGAAAAAUACACAGGAGCUAAGACAUAUAGCUUCCAAGCUAGCUUUGGGCAACACAAUUUGUGCCAGGAAACUUCAAAGAAAUGCUCAUAAUUUAAUUAUACACGUUUAUGUUUUCUAGAGUGUUAUUGCGAUCCUUAUGUUGAUUCCUGAAUCUUCGAGUUUCAGUACUCUGAUUGAUUACUUCACAUUUGCAUCCUGGAUUUUCUAUGGCGCUACUAUUGUUGGCUUGUUAUACAUGAGAUUCUCCAAACCUAAUGCUGAACGACCUUUUAAAGUUAGUAAAUCUUCAGACUUUUUCCCAGUUGAUUAAUUCAUUCAUUAACAAUCAAAAACAGUCAAAAUAUCUCAGAAAAAAAUACAGGCAUUCUCCGCUCCGGUGAGUCGAGUGUUGGUCUUUUUGGUCCAGGAAACCGGAGUACCCGACGAAACCCUGCGGUGUUGUGACUGAGGUGAAAUUAUAACCAGGCAAGUCCAAGAAUCAAACCACCGUCACAAGGUACAAGCAGAAAGGUACAAGCAGUAACGACAUGAUGCUAACCGAAUUUUACUUCUCAAACAUGUUCCAUAAACGUAGUACUACAAUUAUUAAAAUCAGGAUUUGGGACAUAUAAACUCGAUAAUAAUGUAGGAGAGUUUUGUAUAUGGAAAUUUCGAGGGUGAAUUUUUAUACAUUUUUAAACCUAACCAAAGUUUAUUGUAACACGAGGAGUCCAGAAAUAUUGUUUUAUAUUUUCAGGUAUUUUUAGUUUUCCCUGUGAUCGCUGUUCUUGCUGCACUUUAUUUGAUCAUCGCUCCAUUCUCCCAGAAUCCUCUUCCUUCAUUCUUCUGUCUUUUGUUCAUUCUUGCUGGGAUUCCCGUUUACUUCAUUUUCAUUUAUUACGAAUUGAUUCCAGCAUGGUUGGAUAAAUGGAUUGGUAAGAUAUCGAUAUGUUUUCAUUUGUCAUAAGGUUCGCAGUAGCAAUAAUAUGAAUUGGUCUGGGUAUUAUGUUAUAUAUACAACUCACAUGAGCGGCCGUGUUCCGCGCUCGGCCGAGAGGCCCUGGGAACGAGGAUGUAUCAGAUAUACAAGCUCGAGCCGAACGCGAGAGGCUGUAUGAAUAGAGAGGUUAAGAUACCCGGUUUCGGUGUACGUGUUCGGUAAGCACGAUUUUGGUUAGCAAUAUUUUCGUCGAUGUCUGUACCUUUACUCGUAAUUAAGAAGCACAUUUUUCGCAUUAUAUCAUUGUCUUUGCAAGAAAACAGAAAAAGUAUGAUCGAAUUACAGACAUCAGUAAAACAAAAUGACACUACUCGUACCCGUACACCGAAACCAGGGUAUCUUAACCUCUCUUAUAUGUCUGACACAACACGGUUACUAGUGGAUUUCGAGUAUUAAUGAGUUUUACAAAGAUAUCACUGACAAACAUGGCAAACAUGAGACAAAGCACAUCACAAACUAUGGAAUAGACUUGAAUAUAAUUUUUUUUUGUCCCCAGGCGUAGGCCUUGCUAAAAAGACUCUUUCAAAAUUUUCUGUUUGUAUUUUCAGAACGGUUCACGUUUUGGCUGCAGAAAUUUGCUGAUAUUUCGUACCCAGAGUCCGCUGAAGAUAUCAUCACAGGCUGAACAAAAUUCUCUAGUUUCAUAUUCUCAUACAAAACACAUUUGCCAGCUGUAGAAAAUUUAAAAAAACAUUUAGUAUUGCAGAUUCCACUCGAAAGUGGAGUAGUUUUUGUCUAACUGUCUUAAGGACUUUAGCUUAAAACGUGGGACGAAUUAUGAAUUUCUUUAGGACACAGGCUGGUUGGCCUGAGUCACAGAGUCAUGUUAGUAAAAAGUUUAAUAAAACUUUUGUCCUGUAAAUGUAAUAUUUGAAGUUAGGUAGAGUUUAUGUAACUAGGUGAUAUGUUCCGUCCGUUCUUGGAAUGUAAAUUGUUCGUCUGUGGGAAGGAAACCAAGGGUUACCGCAAUUAGUUUAUUUUAUAAUCCUGUAACAAAUGUUGAGCCUUGAGGUCUCAUUAUGUUUUCUGUAGAUUGUCUAUUUAUGUCUAAUUUGUGUCUGUGGAAUCUAGUGAUAUUUAAAAUUGAAAUAAAAUGACGUGG
Paramuricea clavata is the source of this 6437-nucleotide non-coding RNA. The record is from the annotation of a GenBank genome assembly. NCBI's taxonomy places the organism in Eukaryota, Metazoa, Cnidaria, Anthozoa, Malacalcyonacea, Plexauridae.